UUAGCUCUCUUUGCCUAUUGGCUUAGAUCAAGUGUAGUAUCUGUUCUUUUCAGUUUAAUCUCUGAAAUUGUCCUAAUUGGACAAAUCAAUGAUUAAAUCUAUUUUUGAAAGCAGUCUUGGAGCCGCUGGGUUUACUCAUGUUCCGAGGCACGGUGUCUCUGGUAUUACACUGCCUCCAGAUGACGCGACUACCG
Molecule: small nuclear RNA, 194 nt
Organism: Pseudogymnoascus pannorum
Lineage: Eukaryota; Fungi; Ascomycota; Leotiomycetes; Thelebolales; Thelebolaceae
Rfam family: U2 spliceosomal RNA
About the family: U2 is a small nuclear RNA (snRNA) component of the spliceosome (involved in pre-mRNA splicing). Complementary binding between U2 snRNA (in an area lying towards the 5' end but 3' to hairpin I) and the branchpoint sequence (BPS) of the intron results the bulging out of an unpaired adenosine, on the BPS, which initiates a nucleophilic attack at the intronic 5' splice site, thus starting the first of two transesterification reactions that mediate splicing.
Source: Rfam